This 628-nucleotide RNase P RNA is filed under the name Rhizopogon vinicolor AM-OR11-026. Its description in RNAcentral is "Nuclear RNase P". It matches the Rfam family "Nuclear RNase P". From Rfam's summary of the family: Ribonuclease P (RNase P) is a ubiquitous endoribonuclease, found in archaea, bacteria and eukarya as well as chloroplasts and mitochondria. Lineage: Eukaryota; Fungi; Basidiomycota; Agaricomycetes; Boletales; Rhizopogonaceae. The record is from Rfam by way of RNAcentral.
CCAGCUCGAAGGCCACGAAUGCUCAUCCCGUUACAGGUUGCUCCAUGCAUACCACAUUCAUGAGCGGGCUAAGGUCUGAGUAUUUUAAUCCCCCUCGGUCGGCUCUAGCAGGGCCUAGCUGUAAGCAGCUGUGCGACGUACCAGAAAAGCAGCGUCAUUUUCACAUCCCCUAAGAUCCUGUUACCGCAGAGGAGGGGGAAAGUGAAAGCUUUGAAAGCGUCGUGGGGAUUGGGCACAUCUACACCCAUUGUCUAGCAUUCAGUCGUCGCUAUCGCGCUUGCGCCUUGUGAAGAAGGCACCCAGGGACUUACUUGGGCAUCCCGCAGUUUGGCCAAGCUAUGUUAUGGAAACCAAUGUUGGUGCUUUGAAUUGCAAUCGUCCGAGUCGAGGUAUGGCACCCGAGGUGACGGCCACACCAUAUUGGUGCUUACUUAUCUCUAAUGACGUGGUUCGCUUGGCACCGAUGAUUCCAGCUCAUGGCUAUAGACGGCUGGAGACAAUCUCUCCUUGCGUAUGAGGCGGUGGCUGAUUGCAUGCGAUGUGGUAUACCUGUCUUCCCUGAGUUCACUUCGUGGCUCGCGUAUCCUUCGUGGAUCGUGAAACUCGAUUCAGACUACUCUCGGGCUGG